Molecule: long non-coding RNA, 1195 nt
Organism: Pan troglodytes (chimpanzee)
Lineage: Eukaryota; Metazoa; Chordata; Mammalia; Primates; Hominidae
Exons: 3
Source: RefSeq, a predicted model, not a curated record
ACUGCUCCAUUCUAUAAAGUACAAUAGUUUCACCUCAUCUGCAGUUUGGCUUACCCACCAUCCAAAAAAAUUCAAUGGAAAAUUCUAGAAAUAAACAAUUCAUAAAUUUUUAGUCAUGUACCGUUCUGAGUGGCCUGGGGAAAUCUCCUGCGCUCCUGCUCCACCUCGCCUUGGAUACAAAUCCUUCUUUUGUCCAGCAUAUCCACACUUUCUACCCACCCAUCUGUUAGUAACUUCAUAGCCGGCUCAAUUACCAGAUGGACUGCUGUGGUAUUGCAGUGCUUAUGUUCAAGUAACCCUUCUUUUACUUCAUCAUGGCCUCAAAGCACGAGAGUAGUGAUGCUGACAAUUUGGAUAUACCAAAGAGAAGCUGUAAAAUGCUUCCUUUCAGUGAAAAAGUGAAAGUUCUACAUUUAAUAAGGACAUGAACGAUUAAAAUAGGGAGACCCCCAUCUCUACCAAAAAAUGAAGAAGAAGAAGAAGAAGAAGAAGGAGGAGGAGGAGGAAGAGGAGGAGGAGGAACAGGAGGAGGAGGAAGGGAGGAAGAAAAGGAAAAAUAUUAGCCCGCUGUGGUGGCACACACCUAUAGUCCCAGCUAUUUGGGACGCUGAGGCCAGAAGACCCCUUGAGGCCAGGAGUUUGAGGCUGCAGUGAGCCAUGAUUAUGCUACUGUGCUCCAGCUUGUGAGACAGAGUGAUAUCUUAUGUCAAAAAUAAAUAAAUAAGUAUUGGUGAAAAUACAAUAGGAUAAAAUUGCAAGCCAUAGGAAAUGGAACUCUAGCACAUACAGAGAGAUGGUAAUCUUGUGAAGCAACAGUGUAUUGAAAUUAUGAAAUAAGAGUUUUUCAUGCAAAUGUGAGGAAUUUGCUGAGGACAAGUAAGAAGAAGGCCAAUUCCUAUUGUGCAAAUCCUCUGGUCACUGGCUUCAACUAAUAAGGACAAGCAAAAGCACAGGAAGUCAUUUCCCUCCUACGAAGAUCAUUGCAAUGAGUGGGAACUGGUGCUUUCUGUGGCUCACGCCCAGUGGGUCUGAGGGGAAAUAGAAUCAAUAAAACGUUAAACAUAGUAAGUGCUAAAUGAACACUUCAUGAAUUGAAAGCUGACUAGAAAGCCAGCUAUGAAGACAUAUUCUAGAACCACUGGCUGGGGAGGAAAAAAAGCAGAUCACCAAAUAAAGCACAAGCUGCAGUAAUCUC